RNAcentral lists this transfer RNA (69 nucleotides) under Ictidomys tridecemlineatus (thirteen-lined ground squirrel). Its description in RNAcentral is "Spermophilus tridecemlineatus (thirteen-lined ground squirrel) tRNA". It matches the Rfam family "tRNA". From Rfam's summary of the family: Transfer RNA (tRNA) molecules are approximately 80 nucleotides in length. Their secondary structure includes four short double-helical elements and three loops (D, anti-codon, and T loops). The record is from Rfam by way of RNAcentral. Lineage: Eukaryota; Metazoa; Chordata; Mammalia; Rodentia; Sciuridae.
GGGGUUGUAGCUCAGUGGUGGAGCACUUGCCUAACAUGCAUGAGGCACUGAGUUUGAUCCCCAGCACCA